CCUACGGGGGGCAGCAGUGGGGGAUAUUGCACAAUGGGGGAAACCCUGAUGCAGCGACGCCGCGUGGGUGAAGAAGCGCCUCGGCGCGUAAAGCCCUGUCAGCAGGGAAGAAAAUGACGGUACCUGAAGAAGAAGCCCCGGCUAACUACGUGCCAGCAGCCGCGGGAAUACGUAGGGGGCAAGCGUUAUCCGGAUUUACUGGGUGUAAAGGGGGCGCAGACGGCGAUGCAAGCCAGGAGUGAAAGCCCGGGGCCCAACCCCGGGACUGCUCUUGGAACUGCGUGGCUAGAGUGCAGGAGGGGCAGGCGGAAUUCCUGGUGUAGCGGUGAAAUGCGUAGAUAUUAGGAGGAACACCAGUGGCGAAGGCGGCUUACUGGACUGUAACUGACGUUGAGGCUCGAAGGCGUGGGGAGCAAACAGGAUUAGAUACCCGGGUAGUC
Molecule: ribosomal RNA, 440 nt
Filed under: uncultured bacterium
Lineage: Bacteria
Description: partial 16S ribosomal RNA
Rfam family: Bacterial small subunit ribosomal RNA
Source: RNAcentral